GUCUUCGUAGUGUAACAUUAGCACACUCGACCCGUAUUCAAGAGAUCCAGGCUCGAGUCCCGGCGAGGAUU
Molecule: transfer RNA, 71 nt
Filed under: Stegodyphus mimosarum
Lineage: Eukaryota; Metazoa; Arthropoda; Arachnida; Araneae; Eresidae
Rfam family: tRNA
About the family: Transfer RNA (tRNA) molecules are approximately 80 nucleotides in length.
Source: Rfam by way of RNAcentral